UCAGUGGUGUGACAGUGAGUGACAGACGUCCUUGAAACCUGCUAGCAACCCUCACACUCUCGAGAAGGUAGAACAGGACACCGUAGCCGCUCUGGGCACUAGGGUGGGGACACAGCUGAGCCUCUGCUCCAUUCCUGCUGCUGGGAAGCUCACUGCCCAAGCCUGGUGUCCCUUGACAUGCUCCCAGGGGACAAGCCAGUCACCAGCCCAGCGGGACUCAGGAGUCCACCCCUCAGGAGCAGUAGUCACGAUAAGAGAUAAGCAUGGCCAGAUGCAGACUCUGGGAACAGUUUCACGUGCUUAUUCCUGGGUCUCCAGCAGCUGGAGGGUGCCUGGUGGGUGUGGACGCUGGGUGAGUAGUGGCUCCGUGGCAUGCCUGGGAGUCACGUGCCAGUCUGCGCUCAGUGCUCACAUGCUUAGAGGAACGAUGGAGCGGAUGGCCCAUUGUGAGGUCCCAGGCAGAGGUACUUCUGGCCCCACCCUUAGUAUCUCUCAGAUCACAGGGAGUGACUUUCACCCCUGGUUCCUGUGCGUGCCCACCCACUCUCCCCUUUGCCUUCUUGGUCUGUUCCCAUGCAAACUCAGCAGGAGGAUGUGGGUCUCAGCUGGGCAGCUGGAGUGAUCUGUGGAGCGAGGCCUGCCUGCACACGGGCUUGCUGGGCUGGGUGAGCUGCUGCAGGAGCAGGGCCAGUGCUUGCUCCCCUUGGGCUCCCUGCGGCCUUCCUUUUCUCCUGGUGGAGCUGGGUUAGCAGCAGGAGCCUCAGGGACACUUCUCACAGGACAUGGAGAGGCCUUGGGGAUGAGGGUCGACCUGGAGUGUAGCAGCUCCCGGCCGCCCUGCAGGAUGCGCAGGGGCUGGGGUCCGGCCCUUGUGGCCAAGUGCUGGAUGGGUGGCUCCACUGAGCCCCAGCUCUGUGCUGCCCACAGCUCCGAGGAGGGACUGGCACAGCGUGUGGCUUCCUUGGGAUGACAGAUACCUGAGUUUCUAGGUUUUACUUCUGAUUAUGCAAAUAAACACUCAGGCAGGGACGUGCAGAGGUGCUGGAGUUAUCUCAAAAACCAUGAGUGCCUCUGUGAUUCCCGCCAGCGUCUGACUGUGUCAUGCUCAUGACGUGGCCAAGUAUUUUUUUCCCAUUAUCACUUGUAUCUUGAAGAGCAGCAUUUUCCAAAUUUUUCCCCAAAUCAUAAGUUGUAAAAGAUGCCACAUUAAAACAAUGCUGCUGAUAGGUAAGUUUUGGGGACAACUUCAUUUUAAUUCACCCUCUCAGAGAUUUCCGAAGCUCAUUAGCAUAUUAAAUCCCAAAGGCGUAUUUAGUAAGUCUCCUUGGCUAACUUACAGUGUCCGGCUUGCAUGACCAGAGGAACUCCAUAUUUCUUCCCGGUAGUGCCCUCAUGUCUGGGGCCACCCACCCUGGAGGACCAAGUGCUUGUGUAUUUGAUUUCCUUCUGGUGCUGGAUGGAACCUCCAUGGCCCCCAGCCAGGCCCGGCCCCUCCUUCAGCAGCAAGUCUGGUGGCUUCUCCGCCCUGGUGCUCCUCCACGCCCCUGCAGCUGUUCUGUCAUCAUCAGUCCUGAGUGCGGGGUGGCUCGGGGCCGGGCCGGGUCACUUCAUGUACUCAUCCCUGCAUCCUCACACCUGAGCCAGGUGGACAGCCACGUCCAGGAAGUCGACCCAGGAGUCUGUGCCCGGCGUGCUUCUGACGAGAACCCAGGGAACUCUACCAGGAGCCACGUGCCAAGUCCUUUUUAUUUGUGAUUUCAAGACAGGGUCUUGCUGACUUGCUGAAGCUGGCCUUGAACUUGCCAUCCUCCUGCCUCAGCCUCCUGAGUACCUGGGCUCUUGCUGCCUCGUUGGUGAUGGAAGAAGCUUCUGGAUGCACCUUAUUCUGCUCUUCUGGUCGAAGGCAUGAAGAAACCCGGCCUCACCCAGGACACUAGAGAAGGUGGUGUCCUGAGGUCAGUUGCAUGGAAGAGCUGAACCAUCCCAGGGAACUUUCCAUAUUUGAUGACGUCAGUCCAUCCAUCUGCCUUGCACUUUGAAUGGAUCUUUGGCCUUAAAUAGUCAGUUUUGCAACCUUGCACUGGGUUCACAGAGCUCGGCAGAUUCUCCAAGUGUUGACAUCUACCACAAACCCCACACGUCCGUUUUCACUGGUCGGGUCAGAACGCAGUCUGUACUGGGAAGAUGUCAAGUUCACCAUGAUGAAUAGGUUUUCUAUUUUUCCUGGAAAGCUGUAUUUUUUUUUUCCUAUUAGAAACAUUGUCGGCUGCUUUUCUUAAAGUCAUAUGCUUACCUAUGUUUGUUUUCAGGAAAAUGUUUUCUGAUCGGUCAUCUGAACAAUCAUGGGGACCUGUUGGUCCUUCUCUCAGGUACUAUAAAAAAUGCUGUUCCUUGAAAAUGGUAGUUGAGUCAGUGCACAACUCAGGUAACUGUGUCGUUGCUUUUUCCUAAGACGGCUAUUGUUUUCUGUAUCCAGCAGAGUGACUUAUGAGAACUUUCUAUUUCCAAACAGAAUAUUGAAAAGAUAUGCACUGGAGGGUCAAGAUUUGAUAAAAUCAGAAAGUUUAAUUCCUUUAUCAAAAACUUUCUUCAAUAAAGCUGACUUUAUUUUUUAAAACAUUGAGGGUUUGGUAUGAAGAAGAAUACGAUGAAAAUCUGUAGUUUGUGCUGUGCCCUCCGCCAUGCUGUUCUCCUGAACCAGGGGCCCAGAGCAGCGAGUCGGCCUUGGACUGGACCUCUGAUGCUGUGAGACCCAAAUACACACCCUUCCUUGAAAUCAUUCUCCUGAGGUCUUUUGAUCACAGGGUGUAAAUGCUUCUCAGAGCUUUCCACCAGCAGCAGGAGAUGAGUGUGGCUCAUGAGUACAUUUUUCCCCAGGAAGGUCCCCCUCCGUGGAGACUUGGGGAUAGACCACGUUUGCACACACACAUCAGUCGAGGUGGGCUGGACAAUACCCAAGUGCUCUCCACUCCAAGUGCCUCAGGUCUUUCCAAGAGUCCCGAGUCCUGUGUCUGCCGUGAGUCUGACCCACACACAGCACGCAGCACUUCCAGACUCUCUAGAACAGGAUUCCUUUUCCUAGCCCAGACUUGAAAUGUGAGUGGGAAACGAUGACUGAGCAGUUGCGUCUAAGUGUGUAGGAAAGACAGUGGAAGUCCGGGAGCUGGUCAGUCUCUCUCCCGCAGCUGGCCAGAGGCCGGGACAUGUCUCUGUCCACUGAGAGGGAGGCACCUCGGGCUUAGCAUGCCGUCAUGUGGCUCGGCAUGCCAGUUGCCGAGGGCCUAAGGGAUGGUCUGACCUCCUAAGUGGGAGCAAGAAAGUGAGGUCACUGUAAAGCGGGAAGGGCCCCUCACACACAGGACACCCUUUCUGUCACGGUCUGUUUUUUUGGUACCAGGGAUUGAACAUGGGGGCACUUAACCACUGAGCCCCAUCCCCAGCCCUUUUAUUUUUAUUUUGAGAUAGGGUCUUGUUAAAUUGCUGAUGGCCUUGCUAAGUGGCUGAGGCUGGCCUUCGGCAUGUGAUCCUCCUGCCUCAGCCUCCUGAGCCACUGGAAUCAUAGGUGCACCACAGCCCCCAACCACACAGUCGC
Molecule: long non-coding RNA, 3592 nt
Organism: Marmota monax (woodchuck)
Lineage: Eukaryota; Metazoa; Chordata; Mammalia; Rodentia; Sciuridae
Exons: 3
Source: RefSeq, a predicted model, not a curated record